Molecule: small RNA, 31 nt
Filed under: Arabidopsis thaliana (thale cress)
Lineage: Eukaryota; Viridiplantae; Streptophyta; Magnoliopsida; Brassicales; Brassicaceae
Description: ATSL060210
Source: RNAcentral
AACCAAAAUCCAACAAAAAAAAAAACCAAAA